This 253-nucleotide ribosomal RNA is filed under the name uncultured bacterium. RNAcentral describes it as "partial 16S ribosomal RNA". It matches the Rfam family "Bacterial small subunit ribosomal RNA", at positions 524 to 776 of the family's 1533-position model. The record is from RNAcentral.
UACGUAGGGGGCAAGCGUUGUCCGGAUUUAUUGGGCGUAAAGCGCUCGCAGGCGGUCCGAUGCGUCGUGCGUGAAAGACCCCGGCUCAACUGGGGAGGGUCGUGCGAUACGGUCGGACUCGAGGCCAGUAGGGGGACGCGGAAUUCCGGGUGUAGUGGUGGAAUGCGUAGAGAUCCGGAGGAACACCAGCGGCGAAGGCGGCGUCCUGGACUGGUACUGACGCUCAGGAGCGAAAGUGUGGGGAGCGAACAGG